AAAUUCACCUCUAACUAUAAAGAAAUUAGUUCACAUGUCUAACAUAAUUGAAAAGCAAGUUAAAUUAAACAUGAAAACAGAAACAAAGAAAGAAAGAACUCCAAACACUCCACUAAUGGCAGAUUGCAUGUGCAAGGCUUCUCCCUCCUUUUGGACUGCACGGCACUACUUCUUCCUCCUCCAAUGGUGGCUGCACACGGUGGUGAUGGUGGUGGGAAGGCACGGCAAGGGUGAAUUGUGGCAGAAAUAUGGGAAUCUGGGGUGGAAGGUUGCGGCAAGGAGAGAAAUAGGGUUUUUGGCGUGAAUGAAUGAUAUGGGGGGUGGUAGGUUCGGCCAAGAGGUUUAAGAGAGUAUAUAUAGGCACUUAAAAACCCUAGCAAUCAGAUUAGGGUUUCUAGAAACCCAAAUCCACCAGAAAAUAGGUUAAAACAAUCAGAAUUUGCAAGGGAAAAGGCCUAGGGUUCGGCUGGUUUAGUGGGCUAGGGUUUAGGCUUCUAGAAUGCCUUGCAAGGCAAGGAAAUCAGAAAUUUUAAAGGCCUAGGUGUGGCAAAUUAGUGGGCUAGGGUUAGGGUUUGUAGAUAGGGCUUCUAGAAAGCCCAAAACCAAGAAUAGAAACUCUCGAAAACGGAAACCUCCAAGAAUAGAAACUUCCAACUUUAGAAACUUUGGUUUCUAAUUCUGAAUUCUUUGUUCUUCACAUUCAUUUCUUCAUUUCUUAAGCUCCUUUGCCCUUCAACUCGUCCAUUCCUUGUGCUCCAAGCAUGUACUUUCCAAUCUAAGCUCCAUUUUGCUCCAAAAGGCUCCAAUUUGCAUCCUUUUAUGUCAUAUGCCCUUUAAGCCUGAAAACACAUGAAAGUAGCUCAAAAGACUACUUUAACGACGAAAACAUAACGAAAAUGCAUAAGAACUAGCUAACUAAGGCGCAUAAAUAUGCUCCUAUCAAUCAUCUAGGUGUUUUCUUUCUUUGGAUUUUAAUGUCUAAAUUUAUGUAUCUUUGCUUUGUGAGUAUGAGGAACUAAACCCCCCUUGGCUAGGGGGGAAUUCGAAACCAUGUUUAUGCUUGCUAUAUGAUUUGAUUACUUUCAAUUACGUUUCAUAAGUUGUGAAUUCAAUUUACUUAUCUACAUGAAUUAAAACUGAUUUGUGUAUGUUGGUUGAGAGUGCACGCUUAAUUUUCAUGCAUAAGUUUGAUGCUAGGAUAUAAGAGAGUUUCACCUAAUUGUUAUGAACUUAUAUUCACAAGUAGUAAAGGUUGUUGAUCACAAUCGUGUUAAGUAAAUUCUUGGCAUAAGGUAAUGCAAUUCAUAGUAACGAGUGCUUCGCCAAUGCUUAUGAUUUUCAUAGAACUUAAUGAUUCUUGCUUGUAUC
Molecule: long non-coding RNA, 1368 nt
Filed under: Malus domestica (apple)
Lineage: Eukaryota; Viridiplantae; Streptophyta; Magnoliopsida; Rosales; Rosaceae
Description: long non-coding RNA (MDOM_LNC020685)
Source: RNAcentral